AGUGAACGCUGGCGGUAGGCCUAACACAUGCAAGUCGAACGGCAGCACAGUAAGAGCUUGCUCUUACGGGUGGCGAGUGGCGGACGGGUGAGGAAUACAUCGGAAUCUACUUUUUCGUGGGGGAUAACGUAGGGAAACUUACGCUAAUACCGCAUACGACCUACGGGUGAAAGCAGGGGAUCUUCGGACCUUGCGCGAUUGAAUGAGCCGAUGUCGGAUUAGCUAGUUGGCGGGGUAAAGGCCCACCAAGGCGACGAUCCGUAGCUGGUCUGAGGGGAUGAUCAGCCACACUGGAACUGACACGCGGUCCAGACUCCUACGGGAGGCAGCAGUGGGGAAUAUUGGACAAAGGGCGCAAGCCUGAUCCAGCCAUACCGCGUGGGUGAAGAAGGCCUUCGGGUUGUAAAGCCCUUUUGUUGGGAAAGAAAAGCAGCAGGUUAAUACCCCGCUGUUCUGACGGUACCCAAAGGAUAAGCACCGGCUAACUUCGUG
Molecule: ribosomal RNA, 492 nt
Filed under: uncultured bacterium
Lineage: Bacteria
Description: partial 16S ribosomal RNA
Rfam family: Bacterial small subunit ribosomal RNA
Source: RNAcentral